GACGAACGCUGGCGGCGUGCCUAAUACAUGCAAGUAGGACGCAGUUGCGAACGGGUGAGUAACGCGUAGGUAACUGCCUAUUAGAGGGGGAUAACUAUUGGAAACGAUAGCUAAUACCGCAUACUAGUAGAUGGACCUGCGUUGUAUUAGCUAGUAGGUAGGGUAAUGGCCUACCUAGGCAACGCUGCAUAGCCGACCUGGGGAGGUUGACGGGCCAACUGGGAAUGGGACCAGGGCCAAACUCCUACGGGAGGGCAGAGGAGGGAAUCUUCGGCAAUUGGGGGAACCCUGACCGAGCAACGCCGGGUGAGUGGAGAAGGUUUUCGGAUCGUAAAGCUCUGUUGUUAAGGAAGCGGUACUUAACCAGAAAGGGACGGCUAACUACGUGCCAGCAGCCGCGGUAAUAC
This 407-nucleotide ribosomal RNA is filed under the name uncultured bacterium. RNAcentral's name for it is "partial 16S ribosomal RNA". It matches the Rfam family "Bacterial small subunit ribosomal RNA", at positions 28 to 526 of the family's 1533-position model. The record is from RNAcentral.